This 2081-nucleotide ribosomal RNA is filed under the name bacterium. RNAcentral describes it as "partial 23S ribosomal RNA". It matches the Rfam family "Bacterial large subunit ribosomal RNA", at positions 1 to 2067 of the family's 2925-position model. The record is from RNAcentral.
GUAAUUGCAUUUAAGGGCAGAUGGUGGAUGCCUUGGGAUAUCAAGACGAUGAAGGACGUGGCGUGACUGCGAUAAGCCUCGGGGAGGUGUCUAGCAACCGUUAAUCCGAGGAUUUCCGAAUGGGGAAACCUAAUCCUGUGUGAACAGGAUUGUCUCGCGCAAGCGAGUCGUGUACCUGGGGAAGUGAAUCAUCUCAGUACCCAGAGGAAAAGAAAUAUAUUCCCUUAGUAGCGGCGAGCGAAAAGGGAGGAGUCUAAACCUUUUAUCGCAAGAUAAGGGGGGUUGCAAGGGAAUAGCGUCGGAGCCUUACCCCAAGAAAGCAGUAUCGAUCGAUUGUUGGGGUAAAGCAUCUGAGGGAGAGCACAAGUUGGAGAUUGGUUAGGAGAACGAGUCUGGAAAGACCGGCGAAACAGGGUAAAAGCCCCGUAUCCGAAAACCUCUUCAUGCUCCUUGCUAUUUUACUUAAGUACCUUGGGGAAAGAACGCCCCGUGGGAAACAGGCCGUACUAACGGCCAAGGCUAAAUACUUGAUAUCACCGAUAGUGAACCAGUACCGUGAGGGAAAGGUGAAAAGUAGGGGGGUGACCCCGAUGAAAUAGAAUCUGAAACCAUUUUGCCCACAAGGAGUCGGAGCUCUGCCGCAAGGCGGAGUGACGGCGUAUUUCUUGCUAAACGAGCCAACGAGUUUACGUAUAUUGCAUGUCUAAGGGCGUUUGACGUCCGUAGGCGUAGGGAAACCGAGUGAGAAAUGCGCGUUUAUUGCAGUGUGCGUAAGACCCGAAGCCAAGCGAGCUUGCCAUGACCAGGGUGAAGUCCCGAGAAAUCGGGGCGGAGGCCCGAACCCGUGAGUUGUUCAACCCUCUGGGAUGAGUUGUGGCAAGAAGUGAAAAGCUAAUCGAGCUUGGUCAUAGCUGGUUCUCCCCGAAAUAGCUUUAGGGCUAGCGUCCGCUGUGAGUCUUGGCGGUAGAGCACUGAAAAGAAUAUUUUGGCGCAAGCCAGAUAUUCUUAUCAAACUUCGAAUGCCAGGAUUUUAAAGGCGGGCAGUCAGAACAUGGGCGCUAAGGUCCAUUGUUCCUAUGGGAAACAGCCCGAACCUUCAUCUAAGGUCCCUAAAUUAAGCUAAGUGCAAAUUGAAGAGGAAGUGGAAUUCCUUUGAUAGCUAGGAGGUUAGCUUAGAAGCAGCUAUCCUUUAAAAAGUGCGUAACAGCUUACUAGCUAAGGAGUUCUGCGCCGAAAAUCUAUAGGGGCUUAAGCUUAAUACCGAAGAUAAGGAUUCUUCGCCUUUUGGGCGAGGAGUGGUAGGGGAGCGUCCUCAUUGCAGUGAAGCCGGAACGUAAGUGACGGUGGAGCGAUGAGGAGUGAGACUGUUGGCAUGAGUAACCGCAAUGCAGAUGAAAGCUCUGCACACCGAAAACCCAAGGUUUCCUUGGCAACGAUAAUCGACCAAGGGUGAGGCGGACCUUAGGAAGUGCCGUAGGGUACUUUUGAUGGACAGCAGGUUAAUAUCCCUGCCCUUCCGUCCAUUCCAACGCAGUGACGCAGAGAAAGCGUCUUGAAGGAUUAUUGGAUUUCCUUACCUCGACGCAAGUCGGGGAUUCAAGACAAAUUUUUUGCCCAGAAAAGCUGCGAAGGAUUAUGUGGACGGGAUCCGUACCGCAAAACUGACACAGGUGGGUUGGCGCAAGAAUGCCAAGGUGAACGGGUGAAAGCUCCUGAAGGAACUAAGCAAAAAAGCGAUCGUAAGUUCGCGAUAAGAUCUGCCCAUGCCAUAGCUGGCAUGGGCCGCAGCGACUGUAUCCCUAGCGACUGUUUACCAAAAACACAGGUCCGUGCUUAACUCGAAAGAGGAUGUAUACGGGCCGACACCUGACCAGUGCUGGAGUGUUAAAUCUGGGGGUUCUUGCCGCAAGGUGAGAGCUCACCGGCCUAAGCCCCAGUGAACGUCCGCGGUAACUAUAACCGUGUUAAAGUAGCGUAGCCCCUUGCCAGGUAAGUUCUGGCCCGCAUGAAAGGUGUCACGACUUGGGAACUGUCUCCAGGAGUUGCCCGGUGAAAAUGCAAUACCGGUGAAGAUGCCGGUU